GCAGGUGUGGCGAAAUUGGCAGACGCGCUAGACUUAGGAUCUAGUUCCUUACGGAGUGGGGGUUCAAGUCCCUUCACCUGCACCA
RNAcentral lists this transfer RNA (85 nucleotides) under Clostridium sp. CAG:433. RNAcentral describes it as "transfer RNA-Leu(TAG)". It matches the Rfam family "tRNA". From Rfam's summary of the family: Transfer RNA (tRNA) molecules are approximately 80 nucleotides in length. Their secondary structure includes four short double-helical elements and three loops (D, anti-codon, and T loops). RNAcentral also lists the same sequence under 4 other names. The record is from RNAcentral. Lineage: Bacteria; Bacillati; Bacillota; Clostridia; Eubacteriales; Clostridiaceae.